AGGGCAACUUCUGCGCAGGCGCGGCCCGCGGGUGAGGGCGCUGGGCCUGGAGGGAGGAAAAGGAAGAGUCGCGAGGGAAGGAAGCGGCGGGGGCGCGCUGUGCGCGGCCGCGCUCAGUGUUUCGGUCCGGUCGGAGCGUGUGGUGGCGUCGCCGUUUCUCUGAUUUAUUAAAAAUUGGCAUUGGUUUGCUGACAAGGUAUCUUAGUCUGGGCUUCUCCAGAAGCAGACUCUGAAUAAGACUUGAGUGGUUUUCCUGGACUUCACAAUUAAUUUGAAUGCAAACUCUAAAUCAGGAUAAAGGUACAUUUGGUGAGUAGAUUGUAUGUGUCAUUUCUUUCACAAGGACCUUCAAGUGUCAGUUUUAUGUACUGGUAUCAUUUAAUUUUUCACAUUAUGCAGGCCAAGACCUUGUCCUGUAUCCUCAUAUAUUUUUU
Mirounga angustirostris (Northern elephant seal) is the source of this 434-nucleotide long non-coding RNA. RefSeq lists it as uncharacterized. Lineage: Eukaryota; Metazoa; Chordata; Mammalia; Carnivora; Phocidae. The record is from RefSeq and is a predicted model, not a curated record. The transcript is spliced from 3 exons.